Molecule: long non-coding RNA, 1409 nt
Filed under: Homo sapiens (human)
Lineage: Eukaryota; Metazoa; Chordata; Mammalia; Primates; Hominidae
Description: HSALNT0054678
Source: RNAcentral
CUUGAACCCAGGAGGCAGAGGCAAGAGGAUCGCUUGAACCCUGGAGGUGGAGGCUGCAGUGAGCAGUGAUCACACCACCACACUCCAGCCUGGGUGACAGAGGAAGACCUUGCCUCAAAAAAAGAAAAAUAUAUGUGUCUGGUAUAAAAUCUUGACAGUAUAAAGUAAGUUCAGUAAAAAAGUCUCUUCCCUAAACAAUGUUCCCAAUCCUUCUCCCUCUCCCCAGAAACAAAUGCUGUCAAAGUUGUAACAUCCUUCCAAUUGCUUUUUCCCAGUAUUUUUUUAUUAGGUAUAACUUUCAUACUGUAAAAAUCACCAAUUUUUUUCUUUUUUUGAGAACGGAGUCUCACUCUCUUGCCCAGGCUAGAGUGCAGUGGCGUGAUCCCGGCUCACUGCAACCUCUGCCUCCCUGGUUCAAGUGAUUCUCCUGCCUCAGCCUCCCAAGUAGCUGGGAUUACAGACACCUACCACCAUGCCUGGCUAAUUUUGUAUUUUUAGUAGAGACAGGUUUCACCGUGUUAGCCAGGCUGGUCUUGAACAAAAUUCACUAAUUUUAAGGGUCCAGUUUGAUAAGUUUUGAUAAAUGUAUGUCCCCAAAUAACCACCACCCCAAUCAAAAUAGGUAAUAUUUUCAUCACCCCAGAAAGUUCCCUCCUGCCUCCUUUUCCAGUCAAUCCCACUAGACGUAAUCACUGUUCUGAUCUAUGGAUUAUUUUUGGCUAUUCUUUUACUUCAUAUAAGUGAAAUCAUAUAGUUUAUAAUCUUCUGUAUCUGGCUUUUUUCUCCCAACACAGUGUUUUGGAGAUUCAUCCAUGUUGUUGCAUGCAUUCAUAGCUUGUGCCUUUUUAUUACUUGGUAGUAUUCGGUUGCAUGAAUAAGUUACUAUUUGCUUAUCUGUUCACCUGUUGAUGAACAUCUGAAUUGUUUCCAUUUGAGGACUAUUAUGAAUAAAGCUACUUUAAGCAUUCAUGUACAAGUCUCUUUGUGAACAUGUGCUUUCACUUCUCUUGUGCAGAUGCCUAGAAGUGGAAUUACUAGUUGUAUGCUAAUUAGAUAUUUAACUUUAUGUGAGGUUGCCACAUCACUGUCCAAAGCGGUUGUACCAGCUUACACUCCUACCAGCAAUUUAUAAGAAGUCCAGUUGCACAGUAUUCUUGCCGGAACUUUGUUUUGUCAGUGUUCUUAAUUUUAGCCAUUCUACUGGGUGUGUAUUGGUAUUUCAUUGUCGUUUUAAUUUCCAUUUUUCUGAUGACUAAAGCUUCUUUUCAUGUGCAUAUUGGCCAUUCACAUAUUUUCUUUGGUUUUUUGGUUUUUUUUUUUUUUUGAGAUGGAGUCUCGCUCUGUCGCCCAGGCUGGAGUGCAGUGGUAUGAUCUUGGCUCACUGCAGCCUCCACCUCCCGGGUUGGAGC